GGGCCCGCACAAGCGGUGGAGUAUGUGGUUUAAUUCGAAGAUACGCGCAGAACCUUACCAACACUUGACAUGUUCGUCGCGACUCUAAGAGAUUAGAGUUUUCGGUUCGGCCGGACGAAACACAGGUGCUGCAUGGCUGUCGUCAGCUCGUGUCGUGAGAUGUUGGGUUAAGUCCCGCAACGAGCGCAACCCUCACUUUUAGUUGCCAUCAUUAAGUUGGGCACUCUGAAAGAACUGCCAGUGAUAAGCUGGAGGAAGGUGGGGAUGACGUCAAGUCCUCAUGGCCCUUACGUGUUGGGCUACACACGUGCUACAAUGGUAUCUACAACAGGAAGCAAAACAGCGAUGUUAAGCAAAUCCUUAAAAGAUACCUCAGUUCGGAUUGCACUCUGCAACUCGAGUGCAUG
RNAcentral lists this ribosomal RNA (407 nucleotides) under uncultured bacterium. RNAcentral's name for it is "bacterial SSU rRNA". It matches the Rfam family "Bacterial small subunit ribosomal RNA", at positions 917 to 1322 of the family's 1533-position model. The record is from RNAcentral.